AUAAGUGGCAUUUUGUGAAGAGACGAAAACUGAGCGGUUGUGUCUGCGUUGCCGACCUCGAGCAGCAGUCGGCUUCUGCACGUAGAACCCGGGAGUAGGAGACUCAGAAUCGAAUCUCUUCUCCCUUCUCUCUCCUGUGAGAUUUUUUUGAUCUUCAGCUACAUCUUCGGCUUUGUGAGAAACCUUAUCAUCAAACACAAUGGCCAGCAACGUUACCAACAAGACAGAUCCUCGCUCCAUGAGCUCCCGUGUGUUCAUUGGGAAUCUAAACACUCUCGUGGUCAAGAAAUCUGAUGUGGAGGCAAUCUUUUCGAAGUAUGGCAAAAUUGUGGGCUGCUCUGUUCAUAAGGGCUUUGCCUUCGUUCAAUAUGUUAAUGAGAGAAAUGCCCGGGCUGCUGUAGCAGGAGAGGAUGGCAGAAUGAUUGCUGGCCAGGUUUUAGAUAUUAACCUGGCUGCAGAGCCAAAAGUGAACCGAGGAAAAGCAGGUGUGAAACGAUCUGCAGCGGAGAUGUACGGCUCCUCUUUUGACUUGGACUAUGACUUUCAACGGGAUUAUUAUGAUAGGAUGUACAGUUACCCAGCACGUGUACCUCCUCCUCCUCCUAUUGCGUGGGCUGUAGUGCCCUCGAAACGUCAGCGUGUAUCAGGAAACACCUCACGAAGGGGCAAAAGUGGCUUCAAUUCUAAGAGUGGACAGCGGGGAUCUUCCAAGUCUGGAAAGUUGAAAGGAGAUGACCUUCAGGCCAUUAAGAAGGAACUGACCCAGAUAAAACAAAAAGUGGAUUCUCUCCUGGAAAACCUGGAAAAAAUUGAAAAGGAACAGAGCAAACAAGCAGUAGAGAUGAAGAAUGAUAAGUCAGAAGAGGAGCGGAGCAGCAGCUCCGUGAAGAAAGAUGAGACUAAUGUGAAGAUGGAGUCUGAGGGGGGUGCAGAUGACUCUGCUGAGGAGGGGGACCUACUGGAUGAUGAUGAUAAUGAAGAUCGGGGGGAUGACCAGCUGGAGUUGAUCAAGGAUGAUGAAAAAGAGGCUGAGGAAGGAGAGGAUGACAGAGACAGCGCCAAUGGCGAGGAUGACUCUUAAGCACAUAGUGGGGUUUAGAAAUCUUAUCCCAUUAUUUCUUUACCUAGGUGCUUGUCUAAGAUCAAAUUUUUCACCAGAUCCUCUCCCCUAGUAUCUUCAGCACAUGCUCACUGUUCUCCCCAUCCUUGUCCUUCCCAUGUUCAUUAAUUCAUAUUUCCCUGCGCCUAGUCCCAUUUUCACUUCCUUUGACGCUCCUAGUAGUUUUUGUUAAGUCUUACCCUGUAAUUUUUGCUUUUAAUUUUGAUACCUCUUUAUGACUUAACAAUAAAAAGGAUGUAUGGUUUUUAUCAACUGUCUCCAAAAUAAUCUCUCGUUAUGAAGGGAGUACAGUUCUUUUCAUUCAUACAUACGUUCAGUAGUUGCUUCCCUAACUGCAAAGGCAAUCUCAUUUAGUUGAGUAGCUCCUGAAAGCAGCUUUGAGUUAGAAGUAUGUGUGUUACACCCCAACAUUAGUGUGCUGUGUGGGGCAGUUCAACACAAAUGUAACGAUGUAUUUUUGUGAAUGAGAGUUGGCAUGUCAAAUGCAUCCUCUAGAAAAAUAGUGUUAUAGUCUUAAGAUUUGUUUUCUAAAGUUGAUACUGUGGGUUAUUUUUGUGAACAGCCUGAUGUUUGGGACCCUUUUUCUUCAAAAUAAACAAGUCCUUAUUAAACCAGGAAUUUGGAAAAAAAAAAAAAAAAAAAAAAA
RNA transcript from Sapajus apella (tufted capuchin), 1766 nucleotides. It is a transcript of the gene named heterogeneous nuclear ribonucleoprotein C pseudogene, with no coding region annotated. The transcript has a single exon. Lineage: Eukaryota; Metazoa; Chordata; Mammalia; Primates; Cebidae. The record is from RefSeq and is a predicted model, not a curated record.